RNAcentral lists this ribosomal RNA (198 nucleotides) under Cladophialophora sp. RNAcentral's name for it is "partial large subunit ribosomal RNA". It matches the Rfam family "Eukaryotic large subunit ribosomal RNA", at positions 83 to 279 of the family's 3401-position model. The record is from RNAcentral. Lineage: Eukaryota; Fungi; Ascomycota; Eurotiomycetes; Chaetothyriales; Herpotrichiellaceae.
GUAACGGCGAGUGAAGCGGUAAUAGCUCAAAUUUGAAAUCUGGCCUCUCGGGGUCCGAGUUGUAAUUUGUAGAGGAUGUUUUGGGUACCGCCCCGGUCUAAAUUUCUUGGAACAGAAUGUCAAAGAGGGUGAGAAUCCCGUCUUGGACCGGCGGUAGGGCCUGUGUAAAACUCCUUCGACGAGUCGAGUUGUUUGGGA